This 182-nucleotide ribosomal RNA is filed under the name Actinomycetota bacterium. RNAcentral describes it as "partial 16S ribosomal RNA". It matches the Rfam family "Bacterial small subunit ribosomal RNA", at positions 1 to 174 of the family's 1533-position model. Lineage: Bacteria; Bacillati; Actinomycetota. The record is from RNAcentral.
UCGAUGGAGAGUUUGAUCCUGGCUCAGGACGAACGCUGGCGGCGUGCCUAACACAUGCAAGUCGAACGAGGUCCAUGCAGUGGCAACACUGCGGAAGACCUAGUGGCGAACGGGUGAGUAACACGUGAGGAACUUGCCCCGGAGACCGGGAUAACUCUCCGAAAGGAGAGCUAAUACCGGAU